CCCUCCCACACCGGAAAUUGAAGCGGUAACCUUUGCACUCUGCAAACACCGCAUGUGAACCCUAAAAUGCGCGGUAACAUUCACUGUGGUUCUAAAGCCGUGAUUGAUUCUAUCCAUUCUGGUCAAAUAAAAUAGGGACUUGGCAGCUAUUAAAAGACACGGUGUAUUGUCUGAUUGAGAGGUUCACUAUAAAUGCGUCACACACACACACUAAGUAGUAGUAGCGUAAGUUGCUGUCUUGAUGGACGAGCCGAUAACUUCGCAGCCAGGGGGUACAUGUUUGUGAGACAUAAGGUAAGGUAACAUCCAUUUAUUUUUAUCCGUCAUUUUUUGUUACAAAUACUGAAGUAAUGCUACUUUAUACAGAUCAUACGUAAACGAUAACAUAUAUCGAUAUAAAAUUACCCUUGUAAUUUUAAUAAAUGUCAAAAACCCCUUCAAGCAACUGGUUUUGCCGAGAUCUUCCGGGCAUUUUCAUGUUGUAAAUACGGGGGACGUCGAUUUUGUGCUACUGGAAUUAAAGACAUAUUUUUGAACAAAUGUUGCAUUUUCCUAGUUUAAGGGUGACUCUUUGAUAAUUAAUUCCAAAACAAGAAAAUAUUGGCUUGCUAGAACUGACAAAAUCAACGCACUUUUCUGAAGUGUGAUUUGGUACGGUCCGCACAAGUUUCGCGCCAUUUCUAUCAUUUCGGCGCCGUUCGUCUUUCAAUUUCUGUCACAGAGGACACAGAGCGGUCACAGAGCAAACAAGAAACACGACCAAACGACAUCCAUCCACAUCUGCAAUAACAUACCCAGUACCCACAAAACAUCUGAAGUCCGGUAGCACAAUGAUCCUCACGCUGCAGACUGUGCAUCACAGUGACAUAGCUGCACUUGUUGUAGCACAGGAAGACCCACCGGAGAUGAAGGUCCAAGUGUACCAACGCCCCGGAGCCCCAAUCGCCGGGUUGAUGAUGUACGCUAGGUUGGACGGCACGUGGUACCCAUGCGGUUGGAUUCGCGAGAAGAACAAGGACUCUGUCCUUAAUUUGUCAUCGGAAGGGGGCUUAGAAAGCCUGAGCUGUGUCCUACAAGACCGGUACACUAAGAAAGGCUACCAUGUCUUAAAAGUUAGCAUACUUUAGAGCCUUAUCAAAAUGUUUUGACGGCACUACAAUUCACUACAUUACAAUAUUUAAACAGCACUAAAGUUUACUACGUUAUAAUAGUUAAACAUUGGUUGAAAUUUCUAACCACAAGUAAUAAAAUUGUAAAUGUAAUAGAUGUUUAAAAGCUACACACUG
This is a long non-coding RNA of Branchiostoma belcheri (Belcher's lancelet), 1286 nucleotides long. RefSeq lists it as uncharacterized. The transcript has 3 exons. The record is from RefSeq and is a predicted model, not a curated record. NCBI's taxonomy places the organism in Eukaryota, Metazoa, Chordata, Leptocardii, Amphioxiformes, Branchiostomatidae.